UCCCUUAGCGCUCUUCCCCUUUCUCACCCGGUUCCCCGAAUUGAGAAACAGCAAGUAUUUGCUCGGGUAACGUUAACGCGCGAGUGACUGCUUUACUUUGAGUCCUUAAGUUUAACUCUGUGAGGAUCCUCUUGCGGCUGGAUUGAGAAAUUAUUUUCUGGAUCUCUUGGCAGCCUUGUUUCUCAUUGCUCCCGGAGUGGAGGAUGAAAGAAGGGCAUCCCCAGCUUCCCAUUAUCAAUUUGUCGCUUAUCUUGUGGACAAAGGGUCACUGUUUUCUGCAGCUUUCUGAACAGUGACAUUUUUUAAUAGCAGAACCAUCAGUCGGGGUACCGUAUUGAUGAGAGUCUGGCAGAGUGCCUGGUGCCUAAUACAGGGCUGCUCAGCCCGGAGUACUCAAUAUUGGAAAUAAUAAUUGAUGAUGAUGAAUGGUGAUUGCAGGUUAGGGGAUAAUGAUGUGAAUCAUGCAGUCAAAACUAGCUCAAAAAACAGGAUGAACUAUUUGAAGUGAGCCAAAGAAUAAACACUUAAUAUUUAUA
This is a long non-coding RNA of Antechinus flavipes (yellow-footed antechinus), 536 nucleotides long. RefSeq lists it as uncharacterized. The transcript is spliced from 2 exons. NCBI's taxonomy places the organism in Eukaryota, Metazoa, Chordata, Mammalia, Dasyuromorphia, Dasyuridae. The record is from RefSeq and is a predicted model, not a curated record.